Molecule: long non-coding RNA, 712 nt
Filed under: Rhinopithecus bieti (black snub-nosed monkey)
Lineage: Eukaryota; Metazoa; Chordata; Mammalia; Primates; Cercopithecidae
Description: lncRNA (ENSRBIG00000045159.1)
Source: RNAcentral
CUUUUGAAUGUGUGACCACCCCUUUCACUCCCAGCAACGACUGUGCCAUUACCCUUUCAAAUCAAUAAAGCAGCAGCUUCUCCUUGAGUUUGUUACACUCCCCCCAGGUUAGAAGUUAUGUCCUGGGGCUAUACUUGCUUCACCCCAAGCUGGGAAAAAGAAGUUCCUCUCCUCAUUAAUGGAAACACUCACACUCCAUUGCAAACCGCCAUUUUCUAGGCUCCCUACCUACCACUUCCCCGUUUUCACCAGGUCCUAAAACACAAACACAACUUUUACUUGCCCUGCUAUCUGUUCUAACUGCUUCUUAAAUUCGACUCUUCUGCCCUUCUGGCCUCACCUAGGCUCUUCGAAUGGCUCUUCGAAUGGGCUUCCUCUCCAGCGAAUAGAGUCUUCCUGUUGCUCACCAUGCAGCCCUCUCCACUGCCUUCCCCAGCCUGGACAGGUGGCAAGCAGUUGGCGCUCGCCGCCCGCCCGCGAAGAAACUGCAAUGCAAACUUCCCAGCCUCGGAACCCUGCUGCUUGGAGAGCAGCUCCGCUGUGCCAGCUGCAGCCAGGAGACUGGUAUUCAACCUCCCCGCCCCCCGCCACGGUUAAAGUUUGCUCCACAUUCGCAGCUCCCACCCCACCCCCAUCUCCGCCCCGAGGCAGGAGGACCACAUAGGAGUUCCUGGAUCCACGGUGCGCAAACACACCCACCAACAAAAGAAAG